RNAcentral lists this ribosomal RNA (253 nucleotides) under uncultured bacterium. Its description in RNAcentral is "partial 16S ribosomal RNA". It matches the Rfam family "Bacterial small subunit ribosomal RNA", at positions 524 to 776 of the family's 1533-position model. The record is from RNAcentral.
UACGUAGGGGGCUAGCGUUGUCCGGAAUCAUUGGGCGUAAAGCGCGUGCAGGCGGUUCGGUAAGUCCGCUGUGAAAGUCGGGGGCUCAACCCUCGGAUGCCGGUGGAUACUGUCGGACUAGAGUACGGAAGAGGCGAGUGGAAUUCCUGGUGUAGCGGUGAAAUGCGCAGAUAUCAGGAGGAACACCGAUUGCGAAGGCAGCUCGCUGGGACGUUUCUGACGCUGAGGCGCGAAAGCGUGGGGAGCAAACAGG